CUCAGGUUAGAACACAGAGCCGUGGGAACGGUGCUUAGAGACCUACAGACACAGAUAUUUAGUCCUCUGCUGCCACCAGCCCAUGGUCAACUGCCAAAUGGACCUGAGUGAUUGGGACCUGGAUCUGGAGUCAAGGUAGACCCACACGGGUGCAGGCUAGGAACACCCUUCCCCACAGAUGGUUUUGUUCAAUUUCACCCUGAGCUUCUUCUUUGGUCUGUGUCAGCCUCUGGGGCCUCGAAACCUUCUUGGAGGAUCUGCAACUGGCUGCCCAUGGCGGCAGUGACCCUGAGGCCGAGGCUUUUCCAUCUUAAAAUUCAAUUCCUGUCAACAUUUUGGCAUUAUCUUCCCUAA
RNAcentral lists this long non-coding RNA (354 nucleotides) under Suricata suricatta (meerkat). Its description in RNAcentral is "lncRNA (ENSSSUG00005017546.1)". The record is from RNAcentral. Lineage: Eukaryota; Metazoa; Chordata; Mammalia; Carnivora; Herpestidae.